ACGGUAUACCACAGGUGAAAUCCA
Molecule: non-coding RNA, 24 nt
Filed under: Arabidopsis thaliana (thale cress)
Lineage: Eukaryota; Viridiplantae; Streptophyta; Magnoliopsida; Brassicales; Brassicaceae
Source: RNAcentral